RNAcentral lists this ribosomal RNA (439 nucleotides) under uncultured bacterium. RNAcentral describes it as "partial 16S ribosomal RNA". It matches the Rfam family "Bacterial small subunit ribosomal RNA", at positions 339 to 795 of the family's 1533-position model. The record is from RNAcentral.
CUAGUGGCUGCUCCAGUGAGGAAUAUUGCACAAUGGGGGGAACCCUGAUGCAGCAACGCCGCGUGGAGGAUGACGCAUUUCGGUGUGUAAACUCCUUUUAUAUGUCAAGAAAAUGACGGUAGCAUAUGAAUAAGCACCGGCUAACUCCGUGCCAGCAGCCGCGGUAAUACGGAGGGUGCAAGCGUUACUCGGAAUCACUGGGCGUAAAGGACGCGUAGGCGGGUUGGAAAGUCAGGUGUGAAAUCCUACAGCUUAACUGUAGAACUGCACUUGAAACUUCUAAUCUAGAGUAUGGGAGGGGGAGAUGGAAUUAGUGGUGUAGGGGUAAAAUCCGUAGAUAUCACUAGGAAUACCUAAAGCGAAGGCGAUCUCCUGGAACAUUACUGACGCUAAGGCGUGAAAGCGUGGGGAGCAAACAGGAUUAGAUACCCCCGUAGUC